This 1019-nucleotide long non-coding RNA is filed under the name Cyanistes caeruleus (blue tit). RNAcentral describes it as "lncRNA (ENSCCEG00000003440.1)". The record is from RNAcentral. Lineage: Eukaryota; Metazoa; Chordata; Aves; Passeriformes; Paridae.
AUUUUUUGGGACUUUUUGGGGAUUUUUUUGGGGAUUUUUUGGGAAUUUUGGGGGAUUUUUGGGGGGAUUUUUUGGGGAUUUUUUGGGAUUUUUUGGGGAUUUUUUUGGGGAUUUUUUUGGGAUUUUUUGGGGGAUUUUUGGGGGGAUUUUUUGGGGAUUUUUUGGGGAUUUUUGGGGGGAUUUUUUGGGGGAUUUUUUGGGAUUUUUGGGAAUUUUUUUGGGACUUUUUGGGGAUUUUUGAGGGAUUUUUUGGGGAUUUUUUGGGGAUUUUUGGGGAAUUUUUUGGGAUUUUUUGGGAAUUUUUUUUAUUUUGGGGGAUUUUUGGGGGGAUUUUCUGCGGAUUUUUUGGGAAUUUUGGGGGAUUUUUCCGGGGAUUUUUUGGGAUUCUUUUGGGAUUUUUUUGGGAUUUUUGGGAUUUUUUGGGAUUUUUUUUUGAUUUUUUGGGGAUUUUUUUAUAUUUGUGGGUAUUUUUUGGAGAUUUUUUGGGAUUUUUUUGGGGAUUUUUAGGGAUUUUUUUGGGAUUUUUUUGGAUUUUUUUUUAUUUUUUGGGGAUUUUUUGUGCGAUGUUUUUAUUUUUGGGGGAUUUUUGGGGAAUUUUUGGGAAUUUUUUGACAAUUUUUGGGGAUUUUGGGGGGAUUUUUUGGGGAUUUUUUUUGAUUUUUUUGGGGAUUUUUUUGGAUUUUUUGGGGGAUUUUUUUGGGAUUUUUUUUGGGAUUUUUUUUAUUUUUUGAGGAUUUUUGGGGGGGAUUUUUUGGGAUUUUUUGGGGGAUUUUUUUGGGGAAUUUUUUGGGAUUUUUUGGGACUUUUUGGGGAUUUUUUGGGAUUUUUGGGGGAAUUUGGGGGAUUUUUUGGGGGAUUUUUUGGGGUUUUUGGGGGAUUUUUGGGUUUUUUUGGCAUUUUUUUGGUUUUUUGGGGAUUUUUUUUGGGAUUUUUUGGAUUUUUGGGGUUUUUUGGGUGUGAAAUCCCCCCCUGGAACCCCCAAAAUUCCCCAAAAUUCACCCGGGAUUCCCAAAAUCGAC